GGGUGAGUAACGCGUGAGCAACCUGCCUUUCAGAGGGGAAUAACAGUCGGAAACGACUGCUAAUACCGCAUAACAAAGCGUAGUCGCAUGACAAUGCUUUCAAAGGAGCAAUCCGCUUGAAGAUGGGCUCAUAUCUGAUUAGAUAGUUGGUGAGGUAACGGCUCACCAAGUCUGCGAUCAGUAGCCGGACUGAGAGGUUGAACGGCCACAUUGGAACUGAGAUACGGUCCAGACUCCUACGGGAGGCAGCAGUGGGGAAUAUUGGGCAAUGGGCGAAAGCCUGACCCAGCAACGCCGCGUGAAGGAAGAAGGUCUUCGGAUUGUAAACUUUGUCUUAUGGGACGAUAAUGACGGUACCAUAGGAGGAAGCCACGACUAACUACGUGCCAGCAGUCGCGGUAAUACGUAGGUGGCGAGCGUUAUCCGGAAUUAUUGGGUGUAAAGGGUGCGUAGGCGGGUCGUAAAGUCAGAUGUGAAAUGCGGAGGCUCAACCUCCGAACUGCAUUUGAAACUUACGAUCUUGAGUGGAGUAGAGGCAAGCGGAAUUCCCGGUGUAGCGGUGAAAUGCAUAGAUAUCGGGAGGAACACCAGUGGCGAAGGCGGCUUGCUGGGCUUUUACUGACGCUGAGGCACGAAAGUGUGGGGAGCAAACAGGAUUAGAUACCCUGGUAGUCCACACCGUAAACGAUGAUUACUAGGUGUAGGCCGGCU
Molecule: ribosomal RNA, 711 nt
Filed under: uncultured bacterium
Lineage: Bacteria
Description: bacterial SSU rRNA
Rfam family: Bacterial small subunit ribosomal RNA
Source: RNAcentral